UUAAGUGUUUUGGUAUUCAGAUGAUCUAAGUGUGACCUUUUCUGUGCAGAUAAAUGAAUUUGUAAAACUUGGUGGGGACCAACUUGUUCCCUAUUAUGCUGAUAUUCUGGGAGCUAUUUUGCCCUGCAUAUCUGACAAAGAAGAAAAAAUAAGAGUUGUCGCUCAUGAGACCAAUGAAGAACUUCGGGCAAUCAAGGCUGAUCCAGCUGAAGGAUUUAAUGUAGAAGCAAUCUUAUCUAUUGCAAGGAGGCAGUUGUCCAGUGAAUAUGAGGCGACUCGAAUUGAAGCAUUGCACUGGAUUAUGACUCUUCUAAAUAGACAUCGUGCAGAGGUAACCAUGGAAGAAUAGAGCACUUGCCAAUCAGUUCAUGUGCACACUUUUUCUUGGUCU
Molecule: non-coding RNA, 391 nt
Organism: Camellia sinensis
Lineage: Eukaryota; Viridiplantae; Streptophyta; Magnoliopsida; Ericales; Theaceae
Source: RefSeq, a predicted model, not a curated record